RNAcentral lists this small RNA (1731 nucleotides) under Pongo abelii (Sumatran orangutan). RNAcentral's name for it is "retained intron". Lineage: Eukaryota; Metazoa; Chordata; Mammalia; Primates; Hominidae. The record is from RNAcentral.
CGCCUCCUGAGACUGGACCUUCGGGAGAACGAGAUCAAGACAGGCGGGCUCAUGGCACUGUCGUUGGCCCUCAAGGUGAACCACUCACUGCUGCGCCUGGACCUCGACCGUGAGCCCAAGAAGGAGGCGGUGAGCAGGGGACGGCCCUGCAGCCCUGGGGCGGGAGGGCGGGCGGAAGGCUGGGUGGUGGGGCCGGCCUGAGAGCCCUAGCCAGGCGCUCCCGCCACAGGUGAAGAGCUUCAUCGAGACGCAGAAGGCGCUGCUGGCCGAGAUCCAGAACGGCUGCAAGCGCAACUUGGUGCUGGCGCGGGAGAGGGAGGAGAAGGAGCAGCCGCCGCAGCUGUCGGCCUCCAUGCCUGAGACCACCGCCACCGAGCCCCAGCCCGACGACGAGCCCGCUGCUGGGGUGCAGAACGGGGCCCCCAGCCCCGCACCCAGCCCGGACUCAGACUCAGACUUGGACUCGGAUGGGGAGGAUGAGGAGGAAGAGGAAGGGGAGAGGGACGAGACCCCCUGUCCUGCCCUGGUGUCCCCCACGGACUCCCUGGACCCUGGGGACAGGAGUCCCCCAGGCAGCCCCUCCACACCCACUGAGCAGCGGAUUUCCGUGUCCAGCCCGGGCCGGGGCCACAAGGUGUUUGUGGUGACCCGGGUGGAGAGCCCACCCGAGAGGGCAGAGCCCCCUGCAUCACCCACCCCUCCCUCUCCCCCACCCCCUCCCUCCCCACCCGCCUCACCUUCCCUACCACCAGCUGGGGCCAUUGACACCCAGGACACAGGGUCCUCUGAGCCUCAGCCACCACCGGAGCCGCCUCAGUCAGGGCCACCACUACCCAACGGCCUGAAGCCCGAGUUCGCCCUGGCACUGCCCCCUGAGCCGCCCCCGGGGCCUGAGGUCAAGGGGGGCAGCUGCGGCCUGGAGCACGAACUGAGCUGCUCCAAGAACGAGAAGGAGCUCGAGGAGCUGCUUCUGGAAGCCAGUCAGGAAUCCGGGCAGGAGACACUGUGACACUUUAGUUCCCUUUUUCCGGUCGGUCUGCGAUGAGCUGAGGCCAGAGCCAUGAGAAUCUGCUCACCUUACCCCCAGCCUUCCUGAGGCCCAGGAUGCCAGGGGUGGGGGCCAUUCUGGGGCCCCCCUCCCCCCACAGCAACACUACAAGGGGUGCAGGAGCUACAGGGAGUGGCCCUCCCCGCGUGACUCAAGCACUUCUAUUUAUGAGCCCACCACCGGAAGACUCUGGGGGUGAAUGGGAGGAGGGGGAGCAGGAGGAGGAGGAGGUCGUCUCCCAAGGACAUCAGGCGCCUGUUCUGGAGGGGCCAGGCUUGCCCUGUGGAGGGCAGGCGUCCUGGGUGGUGGUGGGAUGGUCCCCUGUGGCCCUGGGCACAGGGCCAGGCAGGCAGCCUGGUGCCGGAGGGGCUGUGUGUGCUGGUGGUGGUUGAGAUGCGCAGAACAGCCCCAGACAGUGCAGGCCGGGCAGGGUGGGGGGAUGGGAGCAGAGGAUCAGAGCUUUCUUUUUCUCAAGUGCAAUAAAUCUAUCAGGGAGCUGGGGCGGGAGCAGCCGGCACUCCGGGACCCUGCUGUCCAGGCCACUGGAGGCUGCGCCCUGAGAGGCACUACAACCCUUUGGGGGCGGGUGGCACGGGUGUGGGUGAGGGUGGGCAGAGGGCUGGGGCUACUCCUGACGGUGCAACUCUGUUCACACCUUUUCUAAUAAACUGGGGCUGGGUUCA